This 772-nucleotide ribosomal RNA is filed under the name uncultured Neocallimastigales. RNAcentral's name for it is "partial large subunit ribosomal RNA". It matches the Rfam family "Eukaryotic large subunit ribosomal RNA", at positions 23 to 644 of the family's 3401-position model. Lineage: Eukaryota; Fungi; Neocallimastigomycota; Neocallimastigomycetes; Neocallimastigales. The record is from RNAcentral.
AGAGAGAGACAUGCGCGCAUAUCAAUAAGCGGAGGAAAAGAAACUAACAAGGAUUCCCUUAGUAACGGCGAGUGAAGCGGGAAGAGCUCAAAUUUGAAAUCUUCAAGGUUUUACCUUGACGAAUUGUAGUUUAAAGAAGUGUUUUUUGCUGAGUUCUGGUAAAAGUUCUUUGGAAUAGGACAUCAUAGAGGGUGAGAAUCCCGUAUUUGACCAUUAUUUUCAGCUUUGUGAUACACUUUCAAAGAGUCGGAUUGUUUGGGAAUGCAGUCCAAAAUGGGUGGUAAAUUUCAUCUAAAGCUAAAUAUUGGCGAGAGACCGAUAGCGAACAAGUACCGUGAGGGAAAGAUGAAAAGAACUUUGAAAAGAGAGUUAAACAGUACGUGAAAUUGUCAAAAGGGAAGCGUUUGACACCAGUGUUGUUUUCUCGAAAAUCAAUUAAAAAUGGCUCGAUUUUGUAUUGCUGAGACCUUAAAAGCUCACUGUACAUUUUUCGUGUCCUUUUUAAUGCACUUUUCGUUUAACAAGUCAACAUCAGUUUCUUUUGUUGUAAAAGGGUCAUUGGAAGGUGGCUUUCUUUUCGGAGAAAGUGUUUAUAGCCUUUGGCCUCUGCAAUCGAAGAGACUGAGGUCUGCAGCGUAGACUCUUCGGGGUUAGAUACAUUUGUGCUAAGUUAUAGCUUUUUAUAGACAACUUGUUGACUAUAAUUAGUCUUGUAGCUUACUCGCUUAUGCUAUUUUACCUACGCUUAGGAUGUUGAAGUCAUCGUAUCGCG